GAUGAACGCUGGCGGCGUGCCUAAUACAUGCAAGUCGAGCGAACGGACGAGAAGCUUGCUUCUCUGAUGUUAGCGGCGGACGGGUGAGUAACACGUGGAUAACCUACCUAUAAGACUGGGAUAACUUCGGGAAACCGUAGCUAAUACCGGAUAAUAUUUUGAACCGCAUGGUUCAAAAGUGAAAGACGGUCUUGCUGUCACUUAUAGAUGGAUCCGCGCUGCAUUAGCUAGGUGGUAAGGUAACGGCUUACCAAGGCAACGAUGCAUAGCCGACCUGAGAGGGUGAUCGGCCACACUGGAACUGAGACACGGUCCAGACUCCUACGGGAGGCAGCAGUAGGGAAUCUUCCGCAAUGGGCGAAAGCCUGACGGAGCAACGCCGCGUGAGUGAUGAAGGUCUUCGGAUCGUAAAACUCUGUUAUUAGGGAAGAACAUAUGUGUAAGUAACUGUGCACAUCUUGACGGUACCUAAUCAGAAAGCCACGGCUAACUACGUG
RNAcentral lists this ribosomal RNA (497 nucleotides) under uncultured bacterium. Its description in RNAcentral is "partial 16S ribosomal RNA". It matches the Rfam family "Bacterial small subunit ribosomal RNA", at positions 28 to 507 of the family's 1533-position model. The record is from RNAcentral.